AUUGAACGCUGGCGGCAUGCUUUACACAUGCAAGUCGAACGGUAACAGGCCUUCGGGUGCUGACGAGUGGCGAACGGGUGAGUAAUUCAUCGGAACGUACCCAGAGGUGGGGGAUAACGCAGCGAAAGCUGUGCUAAUACCGCAUGUGAUCUGAGGAUGAAAGCGGGGGACCGAGCAGCAAUGUUUGGCCUCGCGCCUUUGGAGCGGCCGAUGUCGGAUUAGCUAGUUGGUGGGGUAAAGGCCUACCAAGGCGACGAUCCGUAGCUGGUCUGAGAGGACGACCAGCCACACGGGGACUGAGACACGGCCCAGACUCCUACGGGAGGCAGCAGUGGGGAAUGUUGGACAAUGGGCGCAAGCCUGAUCCAGCAAUGCCGCGUGCGGGAAGAAGGCCUUCGGGUUGUAAACCGCUUUUGGCAGGAACGAAACGGUGUCCGCUAAUACCGGGCGCUAAUGACGGUACCUGCAGAAUAAGCACCGGCUAACUACGUG
This 492-nucleotide ribosomal RNA is filed under the name uncultured bacterium. Its description in RNAcentral is "partial 16S ribosomal RNA". It matches the Rfam family "Bacterial small subunit ribosomal RNA", at positions 29 to 507 of the family's 1533-position model. The record is from RNAcentral.